ACCGGAAAAUGGAAGACUAAUCUAAGGGGUGUUGGAAGAGUUAAUGGAUUAUUUGUUUUUAACGUCUCAUCUCAGUUUGAGGAGCUCAAUCAGUACAUACCCAGAUAGAAAACCAGGAAGUGCAGUUCCUGAAUUUGUAAAAUUGCAUAAAGGUCCUUCAAAAUCCAGAUAUUUACCACAGAGGUAUUGUAUGGCCACUACAAAUAGGGAGGAGUUGAACGGGAUAGAAGAAGGCGAUGGUGUUAUAAUUGUGGAUCAUGGGUCCCGCAGAAAAGAGUCUAAUCUUAUGCUAAAUGAAUUUGUAGCAAUGUUUAGGCAGAGAACCAAAUACCCCAUUGUGGAGCCUGCACACAUGGAGCUAGCAGAACCAUCGAUCAGAGAUGCAUUUAAUUUGUGUGUUCAACGAGGAGCACGUCGAGUAAUUGUGAGCCCGUUUUUCCUUUCUCCUGGACGACACUGGAACCAGGAUAUUCCUUCUUUAACGGCUGAAGCUGCAAAAGAACACCCAGGAGUAUCAUAUAUCAUUACAGCACCUCUUGGCCUUCAUGAGUUACUUGUCCAUAUUUUCUAGGUUCUUUUUGUGAUGAAUUGAAGGAGUAGGGCUUCUAAUUAAGUUGUUCUCAGCUUUUUGGAACCAAGCUAACUGAUCAGAUAACCUUUUGCAGAGGAGCACACAGUUCUGCGGCGUGGUGUUUAGGGGUUUAUUGGAUAUAGUUGCUGAAGGUUUGAGUAGCUUUGAGGCUGCCAUGAGAUGGAGCUGAGGAUCGUCUUCUAGCUCUGGUAAAUAGAUGUCUCCUUGAGUCUGUUAGUACAAGCGAAGGUUCAUUCUUGUAGUGUUUCUUAUCUUUAACAGACUGGUCUGGUCUCUCCCGCAGGUUAGUUUUACAGCUUUUUACCUACUUCUGACUUAAACACUGUAGUUUUUCAUUUUACUUUCUACAAAUACCCGGUAAUAUUGUAUAACAUAUUAAACUUUUUUUUUAUUUUGCACUUAAGUUAUUUUUAACGGAAAAUGGUCAAAUAUAUCCCUUUACUAUUGGAUAUUGUUUAAAGUUAUCCUCCGUUAUACUAUUCGAUCUAAUAUACCCUUGCCGUCUAAUUAUUGAUCAAAUAUACCCUUAAAUUGACAGAAGGGCCACGUGGAGGGCUUCUAAGCCAUCUUAUGCCCCAACCCAUUACCCAUGCUCAAUACCCGAUACCCAAAACUUAACCUGACCCUUCCCAACAGCUAAAUAACUGAACAAAUUCCUUUGCUCGAAAACUCCCAAAAAUAGAAAUAUGCUCUUUGUUUUUUGACGUUCUUAAUAAACGACUUAGAAUUCCUUUUUUGAAAGUGCAAAUCUGAGUUCAAAUUUCUGAAAAUCGUUGAAUAUUAUUGUAGAAUAUAAUUAUUGGGAGCUGAAAUUCGUGAUUGAACAUUAUUGGAGAAAAGAAAGAAAAAAAAGGUGUUUCGAUCACCAUUGACUCAACUUUGAGCUUGGUUCAGAACUUAGAUCUGAAGUUUUUAAAUCAAAAUCGACUGGAUGAGUUUUAAAUCUAUUGUAAAAGCUUGAUAGAACCUGAAUUCAAAAUCUGAAUGCAUUUGGAUUUGAUUUGACAAUAACUUGAUCGAAAAUUUUUGAAGCCUAAUCUGUGGAGAAGAUGCACUGGGUUUCUUGACCUCAUCUCUUAUUGCUCAAAUUGUUUGUUGGGUCUUGUUCGUAUCAUUAUACAGAAAAGAAAUUCGUGAUUGAACAUUAUUGGAGAAAAGAAAGAAAAAAAAAGGUGUUUCGAUCACCAUUGACUCAACUUUGAGCUUGGUUCAGAACUUAGAUCUGAAGUUUUUAAAUCAAAAUCGACUGGAUGAGUUUUAAAUCUAUUGUAAAAGCUUGAUAGAACCUGAAUUCAAAAUCUGAAUGCAUUUGGAUUUGAUUUGACAAUAACUUGAUCGAAAAUUUUUGAAGCCUAAUCUGUGGAGAAGAUGCACUGGGUUUCUUGACCUCAUCUCUUAUUACUCAAAUUGUUUGUUGGGUCUUGUUCGUAUCAUUGUACAGAAAAGAAAUUCGUGAUUGAACAUUAUUGGAGAAAAGAAAGAAAAAAAAAGGUGUUUCGAUCACCAUUGACUCAACUUUGAGCUUGGUUCAGAACUUAGAUCUGAAGUUUUUAAAUCAAAAUCGACUGGAUGAGUUUUAAAUCUAUUGUAAAAGCUUGAUAGAACCUGAAUUCAAAAUCUAAAUGCAUUUGGAUUUGAUUUGACAAUAACUUGAUCGAAAAUUUUUGAAGCCUAAUAUGUGGAGAAGAUGCACUGGGUUUCUUGACCUCAUCUCUUAUUGCUCAAAUUGUUUGUUGGGUCUUGUUCGUAUCAUUGUACAGAAGUUGUGGGUAAAAUCUGAGUGCAUUUUGUGAAGUUUUGGUUAAGUUAGAUCGAACAAAUUAGAGUUGACUCCGCGAAGAAGACAACCUGAGCUUCCUUGAAUUAAUCACUGGGCUUUGUUCGAAUUUUGGUUGAGAAUCUUUGGUUACAAAUUGAGAUCAAUUGGAGAAGCUUAGAUUGAGCUCGGAAGCAAUAGUUCCAAGAAUUUGCUGCUCUCGAAGAACCCGUAACUCUCCAUUCAUGCUAGCUAUAGCACUAUUAGCUUGUUGAAUAUUCGCAUACUUAACAAAUUCAUAACCUUUACUCAGACCACUUAGAAUGUCCUUUGUAACUUUAGCCAUCACAAUGAUACCAAAAAGAGAGAAUAAAUUGAUCAAACCACCAUCAUCAAGAGCAUGUGGCAAAUAAUUGAUGUACAAGUUUGUCUCGUCAAACUCCUUUGGCUUGAUCACAAUUGAACCUAACCCAGAGAGAGUUUAGUUCUUUAAGUGUUGAGAAGGAUCGGGUUAUGGGUUAGGGGUAACAGGGCAUAAAAUGGAUCAGAAGCCCUCCACGUGGCCUCUUCGUCAAAUUAAGGGUAUAUUUGAUUAAUAGUUAGACGGUAGGGAUAUAUUCGAUCGAAUAGCAUAACGGAGGAUAACUUUAAACAAUAUUCAAUAGUAGAGGGAUAUAUUUGACACUUUUCCGUAUUUUUAAUGAUUAGAUAAAUAUCUCACUUGGUUACCUCAUGCAACUGACUGGUUCAAAUAUGUUUAUCAAGAGAGUUUAAAGAAGAAAAAGAAAGCUCGUUAGAGUGUAAGGGGGGUAAAGUGAUCGAUCAUCGAAGUGGAUGCAUUACCUUAUGUCCAGUAUGCUAUAAGUUUCUGUCAUAGAAGAUGAAAGUGCCCCGUUUUGGAAAUGCUCGACAAGUGUAGAUAUUUCAUAAUCUUUUGGAUAUAUUGUCAAGCUUUAUCACUCAUUGAAUUAAAUCACUUGACAAUGUCGUCUUUUUUUUUUCCCCUUUAAUUCUGCUAAACGCUUGAAAGUUUCAGGUAGCAGGGAUGAGAGGUAAACCUUUCUGGUAGCCUUAUAGCUGUUAUUUAUGAAAUUUGAAACCAAAUGAAAAAGAAAAAGGAAGGUAUAGUUUGGUAGGUGCAUGUCCAUACUUUCUUGUCAUUAUUUUCGUAGAAAGUGACGGAGUCCUUGUGCUAAAAAAAGGACAAAUUUAUUGGUCACAAUUUUUUUUUGGUGGACAGUUCACUCAAAGGUCCACUUUGUCAACCAAACCAGCAAAAUGAUACCUGCAGUUGGAGAAAGAACAGUAUACUUUGCUAGAAAUAUCCAAAGUAGAAGUUUGAGAAGCUCAUAGUUUGUGAUUUGCUUUGCUAUGAAUAAGAUCCGCUAUCUAUUUGAUGUGGAACAAUGUCAAAAUCUGUUGGUAAAUGACAAUGAAAAGGUUUUGUAUUACUGCAUUCAUGUGAAUCUAUAACCUUGUAUCUGAAGAGUACUAAUUAUUUGAUAUACAUCUUCCC
Nicotiana tabacum (common tobacco) is the source of this 3864-nucleotide non-coding RNA. The record is from RefSeq and is a predicted model, not a curated record. Lineage: Eukaryota; Viridiplantae; Streptophyta; Magnoliopsida; Solanales; Solanaceae.